This 429-nucleotide ribosomal RNA is filed under the name Chloroflexota bacterium. RNAcentral's name for it is "Chloroflexi bacterium partial 16S ribosomal RNA". It matches the Rfam family "Bacterial small subunit ribosomal RNA", at positions 355 to 776 of the family's 1533-position model. The record is from RNAcentral. Lineage: Bacteria; Bacillati; Chloroflexota.
UGGGGAAUAUUGCACAAUGGGCGCAAGCCUGAUGCAGCCAUGCCGCGUGUAUGAAGAAGGCCUUCGGGUUGUAAAGUACUUUCAGUCGGGAGGAAGGUGUCAAGGUUAAUAACCUUGGCAAUUGACGUUACCGACAGAAGAAGCACCGGCUAACUCCGUGCCAGCAGCCGCGGUAAUACGGAGGGUGCAAGCGUUAAUCGGAAUUACUGGGCGUAAAGCGCACGCAGGCGGUUGAUUGAGUCAGAUGUGAAAUCCCCGGGCUCAACCUGGGAACUGCAUCUGAUACUGGCAAGCUAGAGUCUUGUAGAGGGGGGUAGAAUUCCAGGUGUAGCGGUGAAAUGCGUAGAGAUCUGGAGGAAUACCGGUGGCGAAGGCGGCCCCCUGGACAAAGACUGACGCUAAGGUGCGAAAGCGUGGGGAGCAAACAGG